This 531-nucleotide ribosomal RNA is filed under the name uncultured Sordaria. RNAcentral describes it as "SSU rRNA". It matches the Rfam family "Eukaryotic small subunit ribosomal RNA", at positions 218 to 755 of the family's 1831-position model. The record is from RNAcentral. Lineage: Eukaryota; Fungi; Ascomycota; Sordariomycetes; Sordariales; Sordariaceae.
AAAACCAAUGCCCUUCGGGGCUCUUUGGUGAUUCAUGAUAACUAUACGAAUCGCACGGCCUUGCGCCGGCGAUGGUUCAUUCAAAUUUCUGCCCUAUCAACUUUCGACGGCUGGGUCUUGGCCAGCCAUGGUGACAACGGGUAACGGAGGGUUAGGGCUCGACCCCGGAGAAGGAGCCUGAGAAACGGCUACCACAUCCAAGGAAGGCAGCAGGCGCGCAAAUUACCCAAUCCCGACACGGGGAGGUAGUGACAAUAAAUACUGAUACAGGGCCCUUUCGGGUCUUGUAAUCGGAAUGAGUACAAUUUAAAUCCCUUAACGAGGAACAAUUGGAGGGCAAGUCUGGUGCCAGCAGCCGCGGUAAUUCCAGCUCCAAUAGCGUAUAUUAAGUUGUUGAGGUUAAAAAGCUCGUAGUUGAACCUUGGGCCCAGCCGGUCGGUCCGCCUCACCGCGUGCACUGACCCGGUUGGGCCUUUCCUUCUGGAGAACCGCAUGCCCUUCACUGGGUGUGCGGGGAACCAGGACUUUUAC